Molecule: ribosomal RNA, 253 nt
Filed under: uncultured bacterium
Lineage: Bacteria
Description: partial 16S ribosomal RNA
Rfam family: Bacterial small subunit ribosomal RNA
Source: RNAcentral
GACAGAGGGUGCAAACGUUGUUCGGAAUUACUGGGCGUAAAGCGAGUGUAGGCGGUUUGGUAAGUCGGAUGUGAAAGCCCCGGGCUCAACCCGGGAAGUGCACUCGAUACUGCCAAGCUAGAGUGUCGGAGAGGUUGGUGGAAUUCUCGGUGUAGAGGUGAAAUUCGUAGAUAUCGAGAGGAACACCGGUGGCGAAGGCGGCCCCCUGGACCGGUACUGACGCUGAGGCGCGAAAGCGUGGGUAGCAAACGGG